This is a non-coding RNA of Sus scrofa (pig), 739 nucleotides long. The record is from RefSeq and is a predicted model, not a curated record. Lineage: Eukaryota; Metazoa; Chordata; Mammalia; Artiodactyla; Suidae.
CGGGCUCCAGGCAGCUUGGCUGGCGGGAAGGUCCUUUGGCCUCUCUGUGUUCGAAUGCGGCCAGGGCGGCGUCCCGGGAGUCCCCACAGGAGCGGCGGGAGGAACUCUUCUGGAGCUCGGGAGCGGGCGGACGCUAGCUGACGUCUAAGAGCCCGGCUUCGAAUCCCGGCUGGGUCGGAGCGACUCCACGACCUCGGAAGACCGGUCUUGGAGCCUCAGUUUCCCCACUAGGGCGGAGGAAAGGUGGCAGCUCCCUUACUAGCCCGACUCCCGGACCAUCCACGGCUGCCCUGCACGGAGCAGACGCUCAACAAGCGUUGUUGAAUGAAAGUAUGAACUUCCGUGCACUUUGAUGUUCCAGAAUUAAUGUAUGGAUGUGUUAACGAAUACAAUGGCUUGUAGUACAUAAUACGAUAUCAUCACAACAGGAGUGGAAUGCCAGAAUCACAGGGCAGGAAAUCACGGGCACAUUCUAAGAAAUGACUGUUUUCCAAACUUCACCAGCAAUGGAUGAUAUUUCCAGUUGUUCUCCAUUCCAUCAACACGUGGUAUGGUCACUCGUUCCCACUUUACAUCUAAAAGCCAAAUGGCAUCUGACCCAAGGCUCACUCGAUGAGAGACAGAUCACAGAAAAGAACAAACAGGAGCUUCCCAUGGAGGAGGGGCCUGUAAAAACGCCUGUUGAGUGCCAAGCGGAUGACAGUAAAAAUCGGCAAGAGCCUGUCACCCGUGCGCGCUC